ACCUGUUCCAAUUUGCAUCGCUUUUUAGGUCCUCCUUGGUACAUUUUUAUACUUAGAUGCUGCAUUCAGUGAUAGUAAAGAUUGGGUACCGCGAUGCAAAGUUCAGGAUGGGAUGUCUCACGACCAAGGAUGGCAGAGGACUCCACACCGGGCUGCUUCAAAAUAGCCGCCACAGCAGAAUGAUUGGUGCAACCAUAGAAGUUAUUUGUUCUGUCAAUCCCGUAUUUCCGCCGCUCUUGCCGGGGACACCUGGCGCGGCGGGCGCUCCAACAACACUUAUCGUAGUGGAGUAAUCUCAGCAUGACUUUCGCCGUUGUCUGGUUUGUGUCCAAACGAAGCAUACCUACCUUGCAGUCAAUGGUCCAGUCCAGACAUAGCCAAGGAGAGUGAUUGAGGAGUGCACGGUGAAGGAAUAUUCUCGUCCUGAAGGAGUUUGUGUGGGAAUGCAGAGAGCUGGGCUGAUAGGAAUAUACUGCACAAGAUAGGUGGAUGGCAGGCAGAAGGCAGAUGCAUGUGUGGUGCACUGUGAACCGUGCCAGGUGUUGGAACACUCCAACAGGUAACACGUACUUGCCUGGAUGGAGAUGACUCCCACAGUGGAAUCACACUUCAGAAGGUCUAUCAUAGAGAAGGGAAAAUUGUAGUCAACUUUGAAAAGAACAUUUCACUUUCAAUAACAUAUAAGAAAUAUGUCCA
Molecule: long non-coding RNA, 696 nt
Organism: Eriocheir sinensis (Chinese mitten crab)
Lineage: Eukaryota; Metazoa; Arthropoda; Malacostraca; Decapoda; Varunidae
Exons: 4
Source: RefSeq, a predicted model, not a curated record